Molecule: ribosomal RNA, 456 nt
Filed under: uncultured Ignavibacteria bacterium
Lineage: Bacteria; Pseudomonadati; Ignavibacteriota; Ignavibacteria
Description: partial 16S ribosomal RNA
Rfam family: Bacterial small subunit ribosomal RNA
Source: RNAcentral
CCUACGGGAGGCAGCAGUGAGGAAUAUUGGGCAAUGCCCGAAAGGGUGACCCAGCAACGCCGCGUGGAGGAUGAAGUCCUUCUGGACGUAAACUCCUUUUAGAGGGGACGAAAAGUCCGAUUUGUCGGGAAUUGACGGUACCCUCAGAAAAAGCACCGGCUAACUACGUGCCAGCAGCCGCGGUAAUACGUAGGUGCAAGCGUUGUCCGGAUUCACUGGGUGUAAAGGGUGCGCAGGCGGGCUCUUAAGUCAAAGGUAAAAUCUCUCGGCUUAACCGAGAAAUUGCCUUUGAUACUGAGAGCUUUGAGUACGGGAGAGGGAGAUGGAAUUCCAGGUGUAGCGGUGAAAUGCGUAGAUAUCUGGAGGAACACUGAAGGCGAAGGCGGUCUCCUGGCCCGUUACUGACGCUCAGGCACGAAAGCGUGGGGAGCAAACAGGAUUAGAUCCCCUUGUAGU